GACGAACGCUGGCGGCGUGCCUAAUACAUGCAAGUCGAACGAGAGCGACCGGUGCUUGCACUGGUCAAUCUAGUGGCGAACGGGUGAGUAACACGUGGGUAACCUGCCCAUCAGAGGGGGAUAACAUCCGGAAACGGAUGCUAAAACCGCCUAGGUCUUCGAGCCGCAUGGCUUGAAGAGGAAAAGAGGCGCGGGCUUCUGCUGAUGGAUGGCCCCGCGGUGCAUUAGCUAGUUGGUGAGGUAACGGCUCACCAAGGCGGUGAUGCAUAGCCGACCUGAGAGGGUGAUCGGCAACAUGGGGACUGAGACACGGCCCAAACUCCUGCGGGAGGCAGCAGUAGGGAAUCUUCCGCAAUGGACGCAAGUCUGACGGAGCAACGCCGCGUGAGUGAAGAAGGUUUUCGGAUCGUAAAACUCUGUUGUUAGAGAAGAACAAGUGCUAGAGUAACUGUUAGCGACUUGACGGUACCUAACCAGAAAGCCACGGCUAACUACGUG
Molecule: ribosomal RNA, 498 nt
Filed under: uncultured bacterium
Lineage: Bacteria
Description: partial 16S ribosomal RNA
Rfam family: Bacterial small subunit ribosomal RNA
Source: RNAcentral